CGAAGGGGGCUAGCGUUGUUCGGAGUUACUGGGCGUAAAGGGCGCGUAGGCGGCCCUCCAAGUCGGGUGUGAAAGCCCACGGCUCAACCGUGGAAUUGCACUCGAGACUGAAGGGCUCGAGGACGGGAGAGGAUGGUGGAAUUCCCAGUGUAGAGGUGAAAUUCGUAGAUAUUGGGAAGAACACCGGUGGCGAAGGCGGCCAUCUGGACCGUAUCUGACGCUGAGGCGCGAAAGCGUGGGGAGCAAACAGGAUUAGAUACCCUGGUAGUCCACGCCGUAAACGAUGAGUGCUAGACGUUGGGGAACCUAGUUCUUCGGUGUCGCAGCUAACGCAUUAAGCACUCCGCCUGGGGAGUACGGCCGCAAGGUUA
Molecule: ribosomal RNA, 371 nt
Filed under: uncultured organism
Description: bacterial SSU rRNA
Rfam family: Bacterial small subunit ribosomal RNA
Source: RNAcentral